GGUCUUACGCAAUGAGAAUCCGCGAACCGUGUCAGGUUGGGAACAAAGCAGCACUAAGCGGAACCUUUCAUGUGCCGUGAGA
RNAcentral lists this signal recognition particle RNA (82 nucleotides) under uncultured Acetatifactor sp. RNAcentral describes it as "Bacterial small signal recognition particle RNA". It matches the Rfam family "Bacterial small signal recognition particle RNA". Rfam says of the family: The signal recognition particle (SRP) is a universally conserved ribonucleoprotein involved in the co-translational targeting of proteins to membranes. Lineage: Bacteria; Bacillati; Bacillota; Clostridia; Lachnospirales; Lachnospiraceae. The record is from RNAcentral.